This 616-nucleotide long non-coding RNA is filed under the name Brassica rapa (field mustard). RNAcentral describes it as "long non-coding RNA (BRAP_LNC001448)". The record is from RNAcentral. Lineage: Eukaryota; Viridiplantae; Streptophyta; Magnoliopsida; Brassicales; Brassicaceae.
AAAAUAAUUAAAAAAUAAUAUCAGUUGAGAGUCUCAUUUAAUAAGUAUCAAAAAUAAAAGAUACUAGAUUUUGAUCCGCACUUUUAAAAUGCGGAUUUUUUUUCUUUUUUUUUCAAUUGACAAAUAUUUAGUAAAUGUCAUAUUUUCAUAUAUUUGUGUUUUAUUUUAUAAAAGACUUAAACUUUUGAUCUUUAUUUAUCGUAUUUCAUUUUAAAUGACUAUUUAUGUUUAAAAAAUUAAACUUUAUUUCUUUAAUGAAUUAAGUUGGUAUAACUCUGAUAAAUUAAUUUUAUCAUGUGGUUAAUAUUUUAAUAAAAAAAUUAUAUACUUUUAAUAAAGAUUUAUACUUUUCAAUGAAAAAAUCAAUUUUUUUAUGAAUGCUUAAAUUAUAUUAAAAAAAGAAAAAAUAAUAACUAAGAAUAGUUGAAAAAAAAUUAUUUGAACUUGGACUCAGUGGCCCAAAGGAAAAAAAAUGUGAGCAUUGGAUCUGAUUUUUUUAAUCGGCCCAAAUGGCCCAAGAGAGAUCUGAUGUGGGCUGGAUCCGAAAAAAAUGACUCAAUAUAGAUGUGUUAUUAAUAUUACUUGAUUGCCCUUAAUGAAACAUGCAAUGUUAGUA